GAUGAAGAACGUAGCGAAAUGCGAUAAGUAAUGUGAAUUGCAGAAUUCAGUGAAUCAUCGAAUCUUUGAACGCACAUUGCGCCCGCCAGUAUUCUGGCGGGCAUGCCUGUCCGAGCGUCAUUUCAACCCUCAAGCCCCCGGGCUUGGUGUUGGAGAUCGGCGAGCCCCCCGGGGCGCGCCGUCUCCCAAAUAUAGUGGCGGUCCCGCUGUAGCUUCCUCUGCGUAGUAGCACACCUCGCACUGGGAAACAGCGUGGCCACGCCGUAAAACCCCCCACUUCUGAAAGGUUGACAUCGGAUCAGGUAGGAAUACCCGCUGAACUUAAGCAUAUCAAUAAGCGGAGGA
This 345-nucleotide unclassified non-coding RNA is filed under the name soil metagenome. Its description in RNAcentral is "partial contains 5.8S ribosomal RNA, internal transcribed spacer 2, and large subunit ribosomal RNA". The stretch from base 1 to 120 matches the Rfam family "5.8S ribosomal RNA", at positions 35 to 154 of the family's 154-position model. The record is from RNAcentral.